UUUUUGUUACCAAACUAGCAAUUAACGUUCAAAAUUACAAAAAUAUGUUUCACUAAAAAGGUAAAUAUAAACUCAUAUUCUUUGGGUUAAUUAAUCCAAAUCUUAAGGUUUAGAGUUAAGGGAUAGAAUUUUGGAAUUAGGAUUUAAGAUUUUAUAAAAUAAAAAAUAAAUACUAAAAAAAUAAAAAUUUAAAAAUAAAAUUUUUGAAUUAUAAAAAGAAAAUUUAGAAAAAAACAAAAAAAUUUCGAAAAAAAGAAUUUCAAAAGAAAAAUUAUAAAUAAUUUCGAAUCUGAAAACAUAUAAUCUGAAGCUAUAAAAAAAUUUAUUUUUUCCAUUUUUUAUUUUUAUUUUAUUUGUUUUUAUUUAUUUUUGUUUGUUUAUUUAAUUUUAAACUAAGGGUAUUAGAGAUAUUUUACCCUUUAAUAAAUGUUAUUUUU
Molecule: long non-coding RNA, 437 nt
Filed under: Brassica rapa (field mustard)
Lineage: Eukaryota; Viridiplantae; Streptophyta; Magnoliopsida; Brassicales; Brassicaceae
Description: long non-coding RNA (BRAP_LNC007126)
Source: RNAcentral